AGAGUUUGAUCAUGGCUCAGAUUGAACGCUGGCGGCAGGCCUAACACAUGCAAGUCGAGCGGCAGCACAGAGAAACUUGUUUCUCGGGUGGCGAGCGGCGGACGGGUGAGUAAUGCCUGGGAAAUUGCCCUGAUGUGGGGGAUAACCAUUGGAAACGAUGGCUAAUACCGCAUGAUAGCUUCGGCUCAAAGAGGGGGACCUAGAUCGAAUCUAGUUGGUGAGGUAAGGGCUCACCAAGGCGACGAUCCCUAGCUGGUCUGAGAGGAUGAUCAGCCACACUGGAACUGAGACACGGUCCAGAGAUCGGAAGCUUCGGGUUGUAAAGCACUUUCAGUCGUGAGGAAGGUGGUAGUGUUAAUAGCACUAUCAUUUGACGUUAGCGACAGAAGAAGCACCGGCUAACUCCGUGCCAGCAGCCGCGGUAAUACGGAGGGUGCGAGCGUUAAUCGGAAUUACUGGGCGUAAAGCGCAUGCAGGUGGUUUGUUAAGUCAGAUGUGAAAGCCCGGGGCUCAACCUCGGAACUGCAUUUGAAACUGGCAGACUAGAGUACUGUAGAGGGGGGUAGAAUUUCAGGUGUAGCGGUGAAAUGCGUAGAGAUCUGAAGGAAUACCGGUGGCGAAGGCGGCCCCCUGGACAGAUACUGACACUCAGAUGCGAAAGCGUGGGGAGCAAACAGGAUUAGAUACCCUGGUAGUCCACGCUGUAAACGAUGUCUACUUGGAGGUUGUGGCCUUGAGCCGUGGCUUUCGGAGCUAACGCGUUAAGUAGACCGCCUGGGGAGUACGGUCGCAAGAUUAAAACUCAAAUGAAUUGACGGGGGCCCGCACAAGCGGUGGAGCAUGUGGUUUAAUUCGAUGCAACGCGAAGAACCUUACCUACUCUUGACAUCCAGAGAAGCCAGCGGAGACGCAGGUGUGCCUUCGGGAACUCUGAGACAGGUGCUGCAUGGCUGUCGUCAGCUCGUGUUGUGAAAUGUUGGGUUAAGUCCCGCAACGAGCGCAACCCUUAUCCUUGUUUGCCAGCGAGUAAUGUCGGGAACUCCAGGGAGACUGCCGGUGAUAAACCGGAGGAAGGUGGGGACGACGUCAAGUCAUCAUGGCCCUUACGAGUAGGGCUACACACGUGCUACAAUGGCGCAUACAGAGGGCGGCCAACUUGCGAAAGUGAGCGAAUCCCAAAAAGUGCGUCGUAGUCCGGAUUGGAGUCUGCAACUCGACUCCAUGAAGUCGGAAUCGCUAGUAAUCGUGGAUCAGAAUGCCACGGUGAAUACGUUCCCGGGCCUUGUACACACCGCCCGUCACACCAUGGGAGUGGGCUGCAAAAGAAGUGGGUAGUUUAACCUUCGGGAGGACGCUCACCACUUUGUGGUUCAUGACUGGGGUGAAGUCGUAACAAGGUAGCGCUAGGGGAACCUGGCGCUG
This 1422-nucleotide ribosomal RNA is filed under the name Vibrio vulnificus. RNAcentral describes it as "bacterial SSU rRNA". It matches the Rfam family "Bacterial small subunit ribosomal RNA". Lineage: Bacteria; Pseudomonadati; Pseudomonadota; Gammaproteobacteria; Vibrionales; Vibrionaceae. The record is from RNAcentral.